Molecule: long non-coding RNA, 38199 nt
Filed under: Lactuca sativa (garden lettuce)
Lineage: Eukaryota; Viridiplantae; Streptophyta; Magnoliopsida; Asterales; Asteraceae
Description: long non-coding RNA (LSAT_LNC002383)
Source: RNAcentral
CGAUAUAACCAUAGGUCCCAACAACUGCGGUCCAAUUGGAUGAGUCUAGCUUUAAAAGCUUGGAUGUGCCAAAAUCAGAAAUAUGUGCCUCAUAAUCAGAAUCAAGAAGGAUGUUGGCAAUGGAAAUGUCUCUAUGAAUUAUAGGUGGUGUGCAAUCGUGAUGCAUAUAAGCCAAACCAUUAGCUACAGCCUUUACAAUAUUGACCCUUUUUAACCAAUCCAGUUCUUUUGCUAAGAUCUCAUUGCAUAAGAUUGAUCCAAGGCUUCCCUUUUCGAGGUAUUCAUAAAUCAAAAACGAGUGGCGGGCAUGUGAGCAAUAUCCAUAAAGUUUCACUAUGUUUCGAUGCCUUAUGUUGGUUAAUGCUCGUACCUCAUUAAGGAAUCCAUUUUGAUCAACAUUCUCAGAUGAUGAUGAAUGAAGUUCCUUGACAGCUACCACAUUGUUAGGUUGUAGCUCGGCUUUGUACACAGUCCCAUAUCCUCCGGUCCCAAUAGCAUAUGCUUCAUCAAAAUUGUCCGUUGCUUUCAAGAUGUCGUCAUACACUACUCCUCCAUCAAAAUUUGUUAUGGAGAAGUAAUCACCAUCUUCAUUAUCCAAUGGUUUCUGUGGAGAAUGUCUCUUUUGUUUUCGAUAAGCAAUGAGGCCACACAUGAAAAAACCUAGUAAAGUUGCCCCGAUAAGAGGGAGCAUAGUUAUCAGGAUGAGCUGAUGAUGAAAGGGAUCAUUUUUCUUCUUUGAGAUUUGAUUUGCACAAAAUUUUAGUCCUGUAAAAUUUCCACACAGACCUGGAUUGCCUUGUAAGGAUGCGUUCACAAAGUUGGAGCAAAGGGGCACUAGACCUGUGAGUUCAUUGUUGGACAGGUCGAUGUCAAUGCCACUAGGCAAAGUAGUAAAAGCAUUAGGAAUAGAACCAAAUAGUCUAUUGUGAGAAAGAUUCAACUUUUGUAGAUUUUUCAAACUUUGAACUUCAGAUGGUAUCUCAUGUGUGAGCAAAUUCUGAGAUAAAUCAAGUUCCGUAAGAUGAACUAAGUUACCAAUCUCAGAUGGAAUUUUCUCACUGAGUUUGUUAUUACUAAGAUUCAAGUGGUGGAUAUGUUCCCAUUGACUAAUACUUUUUGGUAUUGACCCAUUCAAUCUAUUUGUGGAUAGAUCGAGUACUUCAAGAAGUUUUAAAAAUCCCAGCUCUAGAGGUAUAAUACCUAAAAGUUGGUUAUUAGCCAAGAACAAAUUCAACAUACUUUUCAUCUUCCCAAACUCCUUUGGGAUUUCACCUACCAAAUGAUUGGAAGAAAGAUCAAGUCUUUGUAGUUGAGUUGAAUUUCCAAACUCUGGUGGUAUGCUACCACUGAUGUUGUUAUAGGCCAUCACUAAGGAUGUCAAAUUCUUGCAUUUACUCCAGUUUUGAGAAAGCUGCCCGUGAAAAUUAUUGUGACUGAUAUCAAGGUAUUUUAAACGUGGAUAGAUGCCAAAGCUAUAGGAUAUAUCUCCAAUGAAAUGAUUUCGAUCAAAACGAGCCCUAAUUAAGCUAGAACAAUUCCGUAAGCCUCUUGAAAUAGGCCCAGUGAGUUGAUUAUCAUUUACUACUAACAAUCGAAGCUUUUCCCAAUGGCACAAAUCUUCAGGCAAAUUGCCAGAAAAAUGAUUAUAUGACAGCUCAAGCCCAACUAGAUUUCCCAAUCCUUGUGGAACCGAACCAGAUAAUUUAUUUUCACGACAAGACAGAGUCCGUAGGUUGUUGAGGUUUGCAAAAGAUGGAGGAAUAAAACCAUUAAGUUGAUUCUUUCUCACAUCAAGACAAGUGAGAGACUUCAAAUUUCCAAGUUCAAUAGGAAUGGGACCAGAGAGUUCAUUUAGGGCCAAAUAAAGGACAAUCAAAGAUGUCAAAUUACCCAAUGAUGAAGGAAUUGAACCAGUUAGUUGAUUGUUGCUAACCUCAAGAUCAGUGAGAGACUUCAAAUUCCCAAAUUCAAUAGGAAUGGGACCAGAGAGUUGAUUGUGGUACAAAUAAAGGACAUUUAAAGAUGUCAGAUCACCCAACGAUGGAGGAAUAGAACCACUAAGUUGAUUUUCACUAAAACCCAGAUUAGUGAGAGACUUCAAAUUCCCAAGUUCUGAAGGAAUGAGACUAGAUAAUCUAUUUUUAAAGAGGUACAGAGUCUGUAGGUUGCUGAGGUUUCCUAGUGAUGAAGGAAUAGAACCAUUAAGUUGAUUGUUACCCACCGCAAGAUGAGUAAGAGACUCCAAAUUCCCAAGUUCAAUAGGAAUGGGACCAGAUAAUCUAUUAUCAUUGAGGUACAAAUAAUGUAGGUUGCUUAGGUUUCCUAGUGAUGAAGGAAUAGAACCACUAAGUUGAUUGUAUCCCAUCUGAAAAUCAAUGAGAGACUUCAAAUUCCCAAGUUGAAUAGGAAUGGGACCAGAGAGUUGAUUGUAGUACAAAUAAAGGACAUUCAAAGAUGUCAAAUUUCCCAAUGAUGAAUGAAUUGAGCCAGAUAUAUUGUUUGAGUAUAGGUACAAGAUGGUUAGCUGGUGCAGGUUUCCUAUUUCAGGUGGGAUUACUCCAGAAAACUUAUUCACUGAAAAAUCAAGAUAUUCAAGUUUGGACAGGAGGCGAAUUUCUGAUGGGAUGGGGCCAGAGAAGUUGUUGACACUGAGAUCAAAAUAAGUAAGACCGUGUAGCAAAGAGAAUGAAAAUUGAUGAAGCGUACCAUUUAAGCCAGAUGAACUGAGGUUUAGCCUCUGAAUGCUCCCAUCAACAUUGCAAACUACUCCAAGCCAAGAACUACAUGGAAACGAUGCAUUGGAAUUCAUAUGGAGUGGAAACCAUGAAGAGAGAAUGGAGUUGUUUGGGAUUUCAAGGCUUGCUUUCCAUUUAAGAAGAGCAUUGGCUUCCUCUAAAGAAGCACAAGAGAAAUUAGGUGUGGAGGAGAGUGUAAUGAUUAUUAGAGCAAGGGAGAAAUAUAAGAAGUUUGAUGACAUUAUUUGCUUUAGCUCUUCCUGUAUAAAAACGGAUGGUUUGUAUGUUCAAUUUUAUACUUGAGCUACCUUUUUAUCUUGCAUAUUUUUUUAUUUUCACAUUCUAGAAAGGAAAUUUGGGCAAUGUCAUAUUUUUCCACAAGGAGUGUCUUUUAUGUUAGAAGUUAGUGUCAUAUUUUUCCACAAUGGAUUGUAUUUGUCACGGCCUUGAUCCUUUUUUCUUAGAACCCAAAAUUUUGCAAGGCACUAGGAAUUACAAAAACACAAUGGUAUUAUAUGUUAUUGUCGAAUUUAACAGCUUAAUAAUAUUACUUUAACUUGAUUAUAUAGACAUAUUUAUUUUUGUUUUCUGAUUAAUGCUAGUAGAAGUACUUUCACUAAAACUGUGUUUUGCUUCAUAAGCAGUGCUGUAACUGAUGACUAUUAUGUAGCUGAUUGCCACUUCAAAACUGUUUGAAUGAGUCAAUGGAGAUAGGGACAUUAGGGUCUUUUAAAAGAAUCUAAAAAGAAAUGAACAUUGUGUGAUACUUGAAACAUGUGAAUGAGGGAAAAUAGGAUAAAUAUGAAGAUAAUUAAAUAAAAAUUUAUGGUUCUUAUUGUUCCUGCAUUUCUUACAUCUCUUGAUUUCUUUUAUCUCCUGAAGUGACUAAAACGUCUCAUUCUCAUACUUGCGUCGUCUUAAAAAUGGAAAUUAUUAAAUAAAACUGAAAAUACAACUGUAAUAUUGUCUGUUUCUCUUAUUUCCCACAGCUGAUAAGUUUAAACAAAUCUUUAGAAGUCUUCUGCACAUCGCAUUUCAUGAUCAUUUCUCUUAGUCCUUAUCUUCACAUAUUAAUGAGAAACCAAUGUAGAGUGUGGUUUACUUCUGAAAUCAAUGUUUUUUAGUAAACGACUCUAUUAAUGGGUCAAUGGUGAUGGCCACUUUAUAAGAAUCUAAAAAAUGAAUGGACCUAGUCUUUUUAUUGAACGUGUUUCGAAGGAUAUGAAUGAAAUUCUCCCCUUAUUGAUAUGUAUGCUGAUACAGUUGUUUUUCACCAUUUAAUCAAUCGUUUUCAUUUUUUAAUCAGUGUUAUUAUCAGAUUUCUUUUACAUGUUCAUAAUACAAAUGACUUUAGAUUUUAAACUUUGUGACUAACUCUCUAGGAGAUGAUAAUAAAGCCGGAUGAAAUAAACCCAAAGAAUGAUCACAUUAUCCUUUUAAUUCAUCUUCUUUAGGAGAAUUUCACUCAUAUCCUUCGAAAUUUUAAAUAUUACUUAUAUGUCCUUGUAAAUUUUAAAAUUACAUAUAUAUCCACCCAAAACUAUAAAACUCAUGUCUAUAUCCAAAUUUAUAAUUUAAGUAGAUUUAAGCUAAUUGAAUUUUAUAAAACUAUCUAAAAAUCAAAAUUACUUAUGAUUAUACUAAAAUACCCUUCUCAACUUAAAAACUAAAUUAAACCAAUUUAACAGUCGUCGUUGCCAAAUCUCGACGUCCAAACAUUAUGUGCAAAGUGGUUACAUAUGAACACCAAAAAGAAUUAUAUUCAAAAGGUAUGAAAUUCUUAACAUGAAACAAAGAUUGGACCUAUCAAAUGCCAAUUACGCCAAUUGAUGACGAGUAAGUUUCAUAACCCCAAUUUAACUUAUUAAAAAAAUUCCAUAUGUGAUCUACCGACUUGUUUUCUGUGUUGCUUUAUAAUUUUCAUUCCAUAAUUUAAACUAUUAAAAAAAUCAUUAUAAGAUUUAAGCAUAAUGAAGAAGAUGGGAACUGGACGUAAGCUUCGAUGCAGCAGAAAUGGGGUAGGAAGGUUUCUAAUAUUCAAUUAGGUUUAAUCCUAAUUAAACAGGUUUAGUGUUAAUGUUUGAUUUUUAUGAAGGGUAUUUUAGUACAAUCAUAUUAAAUUUUUAUUUUUGGAUAAGUUUUUUCAUAUUAAAUUAACUAGGUUACAACCCGUGAAAACUACGGGUAAUAUUUAUAAAAUUUUAUUAAACUAAUAAAGUAUAAGUUUUGUUUAGACUUUUAUAUUAUUGAUUAUAUAAAAUUAAUAUUUAUUUUUAUUUGUAUAGGUUAAAAAACAUUUUCAUUCAAAAGAUCUUUUAAUUAGAUCAUAUGAUAUAGAUUUUUAGUUAUUAACAAAACUCAUUUAAAAUAUAUUUUUAUUUAAAAGAUCUUUUACAUUAAUUUAUUUGAAAAUAAAUUAUUACUAUAAUAAAUUUAUUUGAUUAAUACAAAAUGAAAAUUGAUGCACUAAAAAUAAUAAGAAUGGAUGGACUAAUUUAACUAACUAAAAAAUAUAGUAUCAAUUUGAUAAUUUUUUCUAUUACAAACUGUUUUUUUUUUCUCAUCACCUCACAAAAACUUAUAAAAUAGAUUAAAACUUUUACUGUAUUUGUUGCAUCACCAUAUAGAUACACAAGUCAAGUAUACACAUGGUCACAUAUAGGUAAAUCGAAGCCUCAAAGAUGGAAAUUUUGCAAUACCCAUGAAUAUCAAAUAAAAUUAAGUUGAAGCAAACCAUACCAAAUAGCUUUUGUGGUGCUUGAAAAUAUUCAUAGGAAAUAAUUAGCAUAAGGUAUAAACUUGAAAUAUUAAAACUUGUUACGAAUUAUUUUUUGGAAAUGUUUAGAUUUACAACAUGAUAAACAUUAAAAUGGUGACUGCAAAAUCUAUUGUUUAAAAGAAAAUAAUUCUCUUUCCCACUGUGUUUUGUACAACGUUAUACUUCAAAAUUUUCCAGUCUACUAAACCUUGGGGUACCCUGUAUCAAUGAUUCUCCCCUCCACUGUGUUUUGUAAAAAGAUUUUGUCUUUGUGAUGAUACAAUUCCCGUUCCAAUCAGAAACAAAUGCAUAUUGUUAAGCCUUAUGGUUCGUUGGCAUCAUAACAUAGAAAACAAAGUGCUUCAUUAAUUCAAAUCAAAACAGAUGGAAAUUAUAAUGCAUUGUACUAAAGCAAGGUAAUCCCAACAGAAAAAUUCGUUUGGUGUUUUAAACCGGCAAAAUGAAUAACAACAUCAUCCCCAUGAUUUCAUUGCUUUGUACUUAUUACAUAGUUUAGUAUUUGUCGGUCUCCAUUAAACAUCCAUCUGAAUCUCUCUAAUAUCAACUGUGAAAAAUCAAAAAUUACCUCCAUGAAUCAGUCAAGCAAAUGAUCGAAUAGUUGGUGGGCAAAUGAUAAUGCAAGACAAACUGCCAAUAGUAAGAAAUUUAUGCAAUAUAAGUAUCACGAAUUUCAUUGCUUUUUACUUAUUACAUAGUUUAGUAUUUAUCAGUCUCUACUAAACAUCUAUAUGAAUCUCUAAAACUAAUAUUAACUGUGAAAAAUCAAAAAUUACCUCCAUGACUCAGUCAAGCAAAUGAUUGAAUAGUUGGUGGACAAAUGAUUUUUACAGGUGUAAAAGCAGCAGUCCUGAUUUUUACAGACUGAAAAUCAACAACUUUUUCCAUGGCCUUCAUGGAAGGAUUCAAGACCCACGCAUCUGUAAGAAAUGAAUGCACACAAAAUUUCCUGAAAGAGAUGGACAAAGAGAUGGACAAAGGAUGGAGAGAGAAAGACAGGAGUGGCGUCGACAUUAUUUAGAUCUAGGGUUUAAUGGGUUUCUUGAAAAAUAGAUACAAAGAAUGAGGGAAAUGGAAAUAGAUACAAAAAAUUACUGAUAUAUAUCGGCUUCAUAUUUGGAAAUUCCAAAGAAUUAGGGCAAAAUGGGAGAGACAAAGCAUAGAAAAAGAGACGGUGGACACAAUGGCAGAGUCAAUAUACACAAAUUCGUUCGUUGAAGUUACUGAUUUAUGGACUUCAGUUUAGAAUGUUGAGCGUUACUUGUGGAAUAGAUUAGCAUCAUAUUUGUUCUGAUAUUCAGUUUCAAAACCAAAAUCUCGAUGAAAUGGUUUGGGGUAUAUUCGGUACUUCUUAUUGAAACUUUUAGGCGGGAAAAUUUUACACGAAGGGGCUAUGAAGUUUCCACGUGGACACAAUGGUAAUGUUUUAUUAACAUAGAUUUAAAUCUAAUAAAAUUAUAAGUAUGGAUAUAUAUAUAUAUAUGUGAGUUUUAUAAUUUGAGAUAAAUAUAUAUGUAAUAUCAAUAUUUGAAAGGAUAUAUAAGUAAUAUCUAAUGUUUUUAAGGAUAUAAACGAAAUUUUCCCCAUUACUUUUUCUAGUUAAACUGAGAAGUAAAUAAACAUACGCGAAUAGAUAGAAAAGCAUGGGUACUUCGAAUUCACCAUCUGGUGCUGUGCCUUUUGCUCUUUUGGAUAUAAAAUGUUACCCUGAAUCUAAAAGAAUUGGAGUAACCCUUGGGAAAUCUGAAACUUCCCUCCGCUACUGCUUCUGCUUGACUUCUCUUUUCUAAUUUCUUGCAAAAUUACGUAUUUGCCCACUUCCGAUUUCCCAAAUUUUGUAUUCUCUUUUAGUUUCGUUUCGGACUUCUUGUCUGUGAUUUGGGCAAAUAAACAUAGAAAAUAACUUCUGGGCCCUUCUACAUUUUGGGCCCUGUGCAAUGGUAGCUUUAACCCCACAAAACAUACUCAACUUGAAAAUAGUAUUCAACCUCUAAAAAUUGAAACUUUGUUAAUAAAAUCCUCGUAUUUUGUACGAUUAAAUGAUAUCGAAAAGAAUGUUUGUAAAUCCUCAAGGGAUAUUUAAUUCAGCAUUAUACACAUUUAAAAAAAUAAAAAAACAUAAAUACUGAAUCCAAAGGCCCAUAAAUCAACUAAAGCAAAGUGUCUCAAACACUCAAGCAAAUUCUUCUCUCUUACCCCACUAUAUGAUUUACCCUAUCUACUCUGUUUUGUUGUUUUUUUUUGUUUUGUUUUUUUUUUUUUUACAUGAUUGCAUAGUUGAAACAAAAAAAGAACGAUGUCUUUUUCAUCCCUUUUGCAAGAACAUUGUUGAAUCAAACAUGUUGACUAUUUUGUUAAUUGAAGAGGUUUUUGAACAAAAUCGAUUAAGAUGUACUCUGUUUGGAAUUUUUGUUUAAGCGACUAUUAUUUAUUUUUUUUAUUUUUUUCUCAAAACGUGAGGACAUUUUUUCUUAUUAUAACUUAGUUAUCAAUAGUACGAGUGAGAAGGCAAACAUGCAACAAGCUGUGUCGCUAAGCUUUUUUGUAUGGUAAAACCAACUUUUUUGAAGACUACAUCCAUAGAUCUAGGGAUAUAACAGUGCUAUGCAUGAUUCAUUGUACUUUAUUAAAAAGUUUCACCGCAUCCAGCGCAAGGAAACGAAACGUAUCAAACACAAAUGAUAUAAACACGUGUUGAUUUUCCAUGCACGAUUUCUCAUGUUUUGUGAUCUUGCAUGUAGCAGCUUUUAAAGCAACCUGUGCCGAUUUGAAAUCCCCGGCCAUCAAGCCCACGAGAGGGGAACCCUGUAAGGUCCACACAUGUGUGAUUCCUUCCAACCCAUCAAAAUAUCAAAAUGGCAGCCGGUCUAAGGAUUGACUUUCCUUCUGUAGGGUUAGUCAAGAAAUUCAUAGGUGUCUCUUUGAUGGAGAAAACACCGGCACACUUAAAUAUGUUGAACAAAGCAUCCCUAACCAUAUCAUACAUGUAUUUGAACCACGAGAGUUCUUUACAAUGAACUGCAUGCUCUCGAAAAGAGUUCAAAUACGACUUGUGGCACCUCAUACAUAUCUCGUCAUCUGGAAAUAUUGGGAUCAUGAGCUGAUAUUUAAGGAUAGUACGAUACUCCACAGGAGACAUAUGUUGACCAAGCCCAUCUAUAGGGAUAGCUAGAAGAAAAUCUUGAGCAUGUGGUGCACAUAAACACUGGAAAACAGCUUUUUGCCAAGCCGUCAUGUCGAAAUGCACUUCCAUAUCUUGGAGAAUUUUACUACAAAGGGCACUCACUAGUGUAUUAUAGGAUUUAGGGGGUGUCCUUAGUAGUAAAACUGCUAAGGUCAAUGUCUAGAAGCUUGUUACGAAGAGAAGCCAAUGCACAAGCAUAAUCAGAAUCCAUACCAUAUAUGUUGAUAUCUCGUAAGAUGUGGUCUUGCAACACCCAAGAUAAGGCCCUUAAGUCAACAAAAGCAUAUGAGGUUACCUCUACUACCAACUAUAAAACCAAAGCACCAAACCUAAUUGGUAGGGUAUCAAUUCAUUACUGUAUGUCGCCAAAAAAAGGGCCACCACAAACCACAAUGUCCUCCUUGUGAACGGGUUGGCACGUCCUUAGCCCAAAAAAAAGGUUAGCAAUACCCAUACAAGAACGAAGCAGAAGGAGCUCACUAUGGGGUCAGAUAAUUGUGGAAGAAGACACGUCACAUUUACAAAAAAUUUUGCUCUUUUUAUGGCUAAGCUGCUAAUGAAACUAGCAUCUCUACUAGCAGCUCCCCUAAGAAGUUUCACCCCUAAUGGCGGCCUCCUAAUCCCACCGGGAAUACCCCAUCACGAAGCUUCCUACCAUCACACGAUGGCCAAAAGAGCUUGGUUGUCUUGAUAUUCAACUAAAGGCCCAAUUCUAGGCCAAUCCCCUUAAUGAUGUCCAACACUUUGGCCACGUCCUCCAUAUCUCCAAUAAGUAUGUCAUCAUCAAGAUACCAUGCAUGGAGAAGAAGCUUGUGAUUGUCUCUAAUGUUAUGCAAGAGUGGGUGCAGUACAACGGAAAAAAAACAAUAGUCCUAAGGGUUCUCCUUGUUGAACCCUAGUAGUAGACCAAAUAUAUGUGUCUCCUAGAUACAACCUAGAUGCUUGACCAUGUAGGAAUUCUACCCACAAGGAUUUAGAAGGGCACCUCAAUCUGACCUCAUGAAGUAAUGUGGAUCCGUCCACAUGGUUAAAGGUAUUGGACAAGUCCAAAAAAGCAUGGAAAGAGACACGACAUCGUAGCGCUCACUCACCACCAUGUUGGCGCUAUGUAAUCAGCCUUAACACCACCCAACACCCCGACCCCGAACUGAAAAUCAUGGAGAUACUUGGCCAUUUCUUUACUAAUAACUUUCAUAGCCAACUUGGAAACCAAAAGUCUCCAUAUAAUUCCUAAUGCAAUAGGAUGUAUUCCCAUAUCAGGUUUUAAGAGUGGUGUGAGAGGAGCAGAGACAACAAAUUCUGCCAAACUCGAUGGACAUCUUCCCCUAGCUAUAAAUUAACCACAUAUGUAAUAACACUUAGGAUCUCUUUGGCUAUAGUUGAACUUCUCCACAAAGAGCAUCCAAAAUGUGUUGAUCUCUCAACCCAUCUCUCACACACGAGGUUCCUUUAGGAAAUGAUGCCCCCAAGGACAUUGCCAAUAUCCACUAAAAUGGGAGGUUUUGAAAAUAUGGUACUCAACGUGGAUGGUGAUGGCUUGUAUGGAUGUUUAUCCUCCAAAGCUUUUGUGGUAUCAUCCUCGUGUGGAGUAUUAGAAAAUUGAAGUGUGAUUUGUAUAUAAUUAUAGUAGAGGGUUAUGAGUGUAAAUAUAUCUCUUAUAUAUAUAUAUAUAUGUAUAUAUAUAUAUAUAUACACACUCUUAUUGUAAUCGUGGAUAUAUAAUAUACAACAUUACUGAUUACCAAAAUCAACUUUGUAUCAGAGCCUUACGUUGUACCCUAAAAAACACUGAUGAAAAGAAAACAAAAGAAAGAGACCAUCAAAAUCAAACAACCAAUCAAGCCUAUAGUGCUUCCCUCUCUUGCUUAUGUCGAUUUGCACCACAGUGUCGCCACCUACAAAAACAUCCAAUUUCUAUUUUUUUUAUUCUUUCUGUUGCUAAUCAAUAACACUUACAACUUUUACCCCAAAAAACAAAACUCUCCCUUGUCCCCAUAAGUUUUGUUUCACUCUAUUACCAAUUAUAGUUACUGGAAGGCGAUGUUCCAACCAUACCUUCUCACCAACAACUUGUUCAGUUAUAUUGAUUGCACAAUUCCCUGUCCACUGAUUAUUAUCCCAUCUUCAUCAUCAAGAAAAGACAAAUAUGACACAAUACACCCCCACAACAAAACGCUGAUUACAACACAUGAGUUUCCAAUGAUGCUUACGUCCUUAUGCUUCUCGUUUCUACCAUCUAUGAGGCAUUAUUCUAACAUGCUCUAGGCAACACCUCUCAUGAUAUUUGGCUAUCUCUUGAAUGAGAAUAUGCACCUCACACUUUCUCUAGGGAAUACACCCUGAAAACUCACCUGGGCUCUACAUACCUAACACGAGCUCAAGAAUAUUCUAAUGCACUUGCCAAUAUAGGUGAACCAAUGAAAGAAAAAGAUUUAGUGAUGCUAGUUAUCUCGGGUCUAAGAGAAGAAUACAACAAGUUGAAGUCAACCCAUCUUGGUCGUCAAUUCCCAACUGCCUUUGUAGAACUUCAUGGCUUGAUAUCAGACCAUGAUUACAUGAUCAUGAAAUCAACAACAAACAUCUCUCUGGAUCAAGAUUUCACGGCUGUCACAAACAGUCACACCUCAUCCAUUCGUGGUGCUACCUCUUCCACUCCUUAGCUGGAUCAACCACACACUAUUUAGCAACUUUUUUCGCAACAUGGCCUUCAAGUUCAAUCUGUUCAUGCACAACCUGCUUAAGCCUUCCACACCAACAUAUCCAGAAAUAAUUGUGGUCAUGGACGUGACUCUAGACGUGGAAGAGGAACUACAACAACAUAAAUCAAGGAUUAGGUAACCAUAAUCAAUUUAAUUAGGCUUCUAAUCAAAACCCUGUUUUUUGGCACAUGCAACAGGUGUGGGAUUGGUCACAUCCUGUCACAAUUCCCUAACCGUGAUCCAACAACCUUGAGAACAAGACAAUGACCUUCAGCUAACUUUACAAACUACCGCUCACAAAUGAUAUUCUCUUGGCUCCCAGACAUGGGCUCUAGACAAUAUAUUACACAAGACCUAUCAACUUUCAAUAAUUUUGAGGCCUGGUGUAACAUUCCGUUUAAAAUAAAAUAAAUAAGUAAAUAAAUAAAUAAUAAGGCCUAAAACCCUGAUAUGUAUCCUCAAUUUUAUUUUAUUUUAGACCUAAAUCUGUAAUAAUUUAUCAGUGUUGUCCAUAUGGUGUUAAAUGAUAUAAUUUCCAGAAUUUGGGGUUUAUAUUGUAACAUUAGGACUUGAAAUGUAAAGGAGUUUGUGAAGCAGGGGCUGUGUCGUAAUCAGUGGGUUUAAAUUGAAAAUGAGUUGUAGUAGUAGGAAGCGAUCUUGUAGAAAUGUAUUCAAGUUUGGAAUUGGAGUUGGGGACUUAAACUCGUCGUUCCCUCCUGCCUUUCAUAUAGAGCAGCCGCCACAUGCUAUACUCCAACCGCCGCCACCCCAUUCGCUUGCCGUUCCGAUCAACCAAGACCACCGGUGGACCCUUACGGUUGGCAAAAUCAUGAACGAUCAAGCACCACUAUUUCUCUUGCUUCCGCUGCCGACGAAGGUGAUAUCUGGUAGCUAGCAUCGUGCUAGUCGGGGAGAUUAGGAAACGAAGUCGUGGCGGCUACUGUUGCUGUCAACGAAGGUGAAGCUUGACUUGUGGACGCUAUUUCUAUAGGAAUUUGGAAGAGCAUGUCUAAGGUUGCUUUUGUUUCUAUCCGGUACUAGCGCAACCCGCUUCCCUUCAUCCCUCUUCGUUUCUAUCGUCGCUGCUUUGCACCCAUUGUUGUCGCCGCUCCGACGGUUGUCCCAUCGCCAACAUUCUUUCAGCAUUCGUAUGGCAUCAUUAGUGGGUAGUUGUGUUGAGUGUGAAUCUACAUGUGGGUGUAUGUAUUUCAGUGUACAUCGGCGUGUAUGUGUGUUGGUUGGCCGGAAAACCAACGAAAACCCCCACCACCACCGUGAGGUGGUGGCUGCCACCUCCUACCACCAUCUUGGUUGUUGUAUUGAACAUUUUGGUUUUAUUUCUAAUGCUAGUGUGUGUAUGAAUGAUGUAGGAACUUUAUGUGUGCUUGGAUUAUUAGAAUUGUCACUUGAAACCGUCGCCCCCGCCGUAUGUAGUUGGGUGGUUGCCGCCACGGACCGCCACCAACCACCAUUGCCCAUGGUGGCGUUGGGUGGUGCACGAUUUAUUAAACAUUAAAUUACCUAAACAUCCAACUUUAGACCGAGUGGCACGCGUUUGGAUUAGAAACCCUAAUUAGUGUCUAGAAAACCCUAAUGUCAAAGAAAACCCUAGUUUUGGAGUUAGUCGGUACCCGUGUUAAAACUGUUAAUUAAACUUUAAAUAAUACUUAAUAAUGUCCUAGAAUUAACUUAAUGCAAUAUUGGAAUUAAUGAAUUAAUUCCUUAAGGGGUUUUAGUGUGGAACACUAACCCUAUUUAUCAUUUUAUGUGGAAACCCUAGAAUCGGGGAGCUUUAUUUUGAACAAUGAUCGGGCGCGUAUUUGGGAUAUUGAUUGGAUUAUUAUUAUUAUACCCGAGGAUGACUAAGUUAAACAUUAAUCAGUCCUACCCUUAUGUGAUUAUGUCCUUAAUGAGUUAAGUGUUCUUAUUUAACCCUAAUCGUCAUUUCAUGUGAGGUGGUCACUGUUACAAGUGACUAUGACUUAUGAUCGGGUAUUGACUCAAGUAUCGACAUGUCGGUGAUUGGAAGUGAUUUGAAGCUGGUAGAGUUCUUCAUUGGUACAGUGGUUACCUACACACUUUUCAAGGUGAGUUUCGCUUCAUUGUACCCGUAGGUCGAAGGCACCAAUGUCAACCCACUAGUUUUUGUUAUCUGGUAGUAGAUACAUUCCUUAGGGAUCUGUUAGAUCUUUGUUAUGGUAUCGAGUAUGCUGCUAUGCUGUAGUGAUAUGUUAAAUAUGUUUUCUAGUAUCGAGAAUGUUGCUAUGCUGUAGUAAUCUAUAAGACUGUAUGUAUAUGUGCUUGCUGGUUAUCAUCUAUGGAGUGCCCUUAGGAAUUGUCUGUUGUCAUGUAUGAUAGCCUGAGAACUCUUGGUCUAGGCUCUCUUGCCUAUUCCUUAUUUGGUUGUGGCUUUAGAGUAGGACCAUCUGUUCAGGUGGCUAUCUCACCUCUGGUUACUUAUGGUUACACAUUCUAUGGAGGUUAGCUCGUAUUAGGGUUGUAUGUUGUCAGAGGACCAGUAGGCGGUAAUGACCUGUAUGAUUGUUGUUUACCUAUAUUAUGUGCCUACUUGAUCCAGAUUGUUUAUAUGUCGACAUAUUGUGUUUGGUUUGGGUUGAGGCGGUCCUGCUCUGUGUGGUAGGCCAAGAUACCCAGUGUGGGCCGACUAUAAGCCGUAGGCACAAAGGCUCGAGAGGAGCGGUUUGGGUUGAGGCCAACCAAUGUAGACUAAAGGCCAAAAGACCCAGGGCGUCCCGAAUAGACUGCAGGACGUUAGGCCGAAGGCCCAGAGAACGGUCCAGAUAGGAUGAAGGCCCCAUGAGGCGUUCCAGUCAUGUUGACGGUUCUGUGAGCGUUCCGGAUAGUUUGUAGGCCGGUGUGGCGUUCCAGUCAAGCUGAAGGCUCUGUAUGCAUGAUGUUGGUUAUUAUGUUUAUGUGGUAGUAUUUUGGGGGAAACUCAUUAAGCUUUAUGUUUAUCCAAUUGUUUAUUGUUUCAGGUAGCGGGAAGGCAAAGGUGGGACUGUACACACUCAUCAACAACUUUGAAGAUUCCGUGUUUCCUAUAAUAAUAUGAUAUUAACAAAUUUAAUUUUGAAUAAAUGGCUUUUCUUAAAUAAUGGAUUAAUAAAUUGGGAAUCUUACCUUAAUAAAAAUGAAAAAUUUUGUUGUGAAAAUGGGACGUUACACCUACUAUGGUGAUGAUAAUCUUCACAAUGAAAAUAGUAACGAUUUACCCAUUCUACAUAUUGGUUCGUCACAAUAUUACUCGCCAAACAAAACCUUCACCCUUAAAGACAUACUUCAUCUUCCUUAAAUAAAACAAAACCUCAUUUUUGUCCAAAACUUUUGUCUUGAUAAUCAUGUGUACUUCGAAUUUCACUCAUAUUUCUUUUUUGCAAAGGAAAUGCUUACAUGCAAUAUCCUCCUCAUGGGUUCAUGUAAUGGCGGUCUCUACUCCUUUCAUCUUCCUCAAACAUAACCUAUUCACAAAAUAGCGUUUUCUACCAACCGUUCUCCAUCCACCACAUGGAACCAAAGACUUGGACAUCCACAUCAACAACUCUUGAAGUCCAUGUUAUCUAAAUAACAUUUACCUUUACAAAAUAAGUGUGAUAGUACUUUUUAUGAUUCGUGUCAUUUUGGUAAAUCGUCUAAACUUCAUCUAUCACCAUCUAUUUACGAAAUUUCACACAUUUUAGAUUUAUAUUUCCUGUAAUGUAUGGGGCCCGACUUUUGUUACCUCUUAUGAUGGUCACAAAUAUUUUAUGUUGUGUGUUGAUCAUUAUUCUUGCUUUAUGUGGAUUUUUUCAUUAAAACUAAAAUCUGACAUUUAUACUACUUUUAAACGAUUCCUUGUGAUGGUUGAACGACAAUUUCAAACCAAACUAAAAUUCGUCCAAACCGAUUGAGGAGGCGAGUUUCGAAAUCUCUUGCAAUUUUUCUCUCCUCUCGCCAUUACUCAUCGCCUUUCGUGUCCGCAUACUAGUGAACAAAAUGGUUUUGUUGAGUGACGACAUCAGCAUGCUGUCAAAACCGAUCUUACUCUUCUCAUUCAAUCCAAUGUUCCUCAAUGGUUUUGGCAUUUUUCUUUUGACAACACAACAUAUCUUAUUAACCGAAUACCAUCCUAUACAAACUCCAACACCUCACCCUUUGAACAUAAACCCAAUUUUUCCUUUCUUUGGGUUUUUGGAUGUCAGUGUUUUCCUCAUCUCCGUCCAUGCAAAAAACACAAAAUCGACUUUUGUUCUACACCUUGUGUGUUUCUUGCUUACAACACUGCUCAUCAUGGCUAUCUGUGUUUAGGCCCACAAUCUGAUCACAUAUAUGUGGCACGUCAUGUUCAACUUAAUGAGAAAUCCUUCCCUUUUCAAAGACCUCCUAUAAUCACUUCGUCUACAACCACUUCAAAUCUCUAUAUCUCAAUCUAUCCAAAUCCUACCUUACCACCCAUCGUCUUACCAUCCACAACACCUAUUGCACAAUCUGACCCAAUAGAUAUGACACCUCCCACCACUUCCCCUCAUGAACAACCCACGACCAAACCACCAUUAAUUCACACAUAUCACCGCCUUUUCCCAAAACACUAAUCCACCACUUUCGCUUAUACCUACUGCUCCUUUUUAUAACACCAAACAACCUACACGUACUCGAACCACCAAUCUAUGCUACAAUCCAAAACUAACCAAACCCUAUGUUUCCACCUCCUACCAUACCAAAUACACACCGAACCAACAACCUUUACGAUUACUAAUAUGGAUCUUAAGUGGUGCAGUGCCAUGGAAGAAGAGUAUUCAGCCCUAAUGCAAAAUGCUACCUAGAUGUUAGUGCCAUGUGUUCCAAAUUCCAAUGUUGUUUAUUGCAAAUGGGUAUAAAAAUUAAAAAAGGGAUCAAAUAGGGGCGAUUAAACGUUACAAGGCAUGACUAGUAGCAAAAGGGUUUCGGCAAGAAUCGAGCAUUGAUUAUCAGGAGUUGUUCAAUUUCGUAGUAAAAUCGACAACUAUUUGUGUUGUCUAUCUCUAUUCGUAACACAUAAAUGGUCCUUAAGGAAAUUCGAUUUACAAAAUGCCUUCUUACACGGUAAUCUCACUAAGACAAUUUAUUUGCAACAACUCCAUGGGUUUGUUAACUCGACCAUACCGUAUCAAGUUUGCUUGCUUCACAAGUCCUUAUAUGGAUUAAAGCAAGCCCCUAGAGUGUGGUUCCACCAUCUAUCUACAGUACUUUAUUCCCUUGGUUUUAAGGGUUCCAAGAUGAAUCCGUCCUUGUUUAUUUACUCUCAUCGAGGAAAACUUUUAUACAUGCUUUUCUAUGUUGAUGACAUUAUAUUUACAUGAAACAACUCGCACGCGAUUAAUAAAGUGGUAAAGAGUAUUAGCCAAUCUUUUGUUGUUCAGGAUAUGGGUUGUUUCGAUAUUGAAGUCACUCAUCAGGAUCAUGAAAUUGUUAUAUCACAAAGAAAGCACAUCCUUGAACUCUUACAACGUGUAGGUUUGUCUGAUGCUAAACGGGUCUCAUCUCCUAUGACCAGUAAUGCAAAUCUUGCUCUUGGUGACAUUUCCAAGUUUGAUAAUAUGGUCAAAUAUCGUCAAUUAGUAGGAUCUCUUCAGUAUAUCACAUUGUCUCGUAUGAAUAAUACCUUCGCAGUUAACAAAGUCUACUAGUUUAUGCACUCCCCCACUGAGAAUCAUUAGUUAGCAGUCAAAUGAAUUCUUCGUUACUUACAUGGCACCGUUGACUAUGGUUUGUGCCUUAAGCAUGAUUCGAGUACCAUCCUCCAUGUCUAUACUGAUUCAACUUAAAACUCACUGAUCGGCUUCUUUGAUGCUAACUGGGCUGGUUUCCAAGACGAUCGUCGAUCCACUGGGAGAUAUGCUAUCUACCUAGGUUCCAAACUAGUAUCAUUGUCUAGCCGAAAACAACAGACUGUAUCUCGAUCGCCAACAAAGUUUGAAUACAAGGCCCUAGCCGAUACCGUUGCUGAACUCACAUGGCUCAAAACUCUAUUAUGAAAAGUUCAAGUUCCUGUUAAGUCGGAUCCUAUGUUGUGGUGUGAUAAUCUUGGUGCUACGUAUCUUUCAGCUAAUCCUAUCUUUCAUGCACGUACAAAACAUUUUGAACUUGAUUUUCACUUUGUCCGAGAAAAGGUGGUCCAAUGGAAGCUUUCAGUUCACUUUAUAUCUAUGGAUGAUCAGAUUGUAGAUGCGUUCACCAAGCCACUGCCCUCACAACGGCUUCUCUUAUUACAAUCCAAGCUACAGGUCGCUCCCCCGCCUUAGCUAGUGGGGGAAUAUUAGAUAGCUAAAGUGUGAUAUGUAUAUAAUUAUAUUAGAGGGUUAUGAGUGUAAAUGUAUCUCUUAUAUAUAUAUAUAUAUAUAUAUNUAUAUUCUUAUUGUAAUCAUGGAUAUACAAUAUACAACAUUACUAAAUACCAAAGUCAACUUGGAGCAACCCCCAAAGAACAUAAUCUAAAAUGUUAGCACUACCAACCCUCUACCCGUAUGGAGCAACCCCUUUGCGGUGGCCCAUUUUUAUUGUUUUUUUGAAGUAAGCUGAUGAAUCAUGUUGAAGAAACACUUGAAUCGACAAAUGAUCGAUGAUCAACAAAUUGAAAACAAAAUUGGAAGAUCUAAAUAAUAUAGCUCGUUGGAAUGUAAUUCUCUUUGAUUUGGCAAAAAAAAUUGUUACAGGGUCAAAUCUGUCAAAUUGUUGAAUAUGAACUUAUGAUCCAAGGUACAUGUUACUUACUUUAGGAAGAACAAGUUACAUUAUUCUUAUCUUCUUUAGAAAUGAGUAUAGAAACACACGACAUACAAAUAUUGAGUUAGCUUGAUUAUGUCGCUUUCUACAUGAAGUUUCUGUUACCGGUCUUACGCAUGCUCAUCUUAAAUGUGAAAUCCAAGAAUCCAUCUAUAUUUCAAAAGAUCUGGUUUUUCUAGAACAUCAUCUAGAAUUAGACUGUCAUUUUGUUCAAGAAAAGUUGCAAGAGGGGCUUAUUUAUCCAUUGCUCAGUACCAUGUCCCAUCUCAGUCUCAGUUAGCCACAACUCUACUAAAAAACUUCCUAAUAAACAACAUUAUCAAUUAACUUCACAAGUUGGGAGUUAGUCAUUCUCCCACUUGAGGGGGUGUUGCUAAAAGUAGUGAGUUCAUAGUCAUUUUAUGUAGCUGAUGGUCCAUUCAAGUUACUUUAUAUAAUUGAUGGUUAAUGUAGUGUGUUAGUUGGUUGGUUAUUAUUCAUGUUACUUUAUAUAAUUGAUGGUUGAUGUAGUGUGUUAGUUGGUUGGUUAUUAUUCAUGUUACUUUAUAUAAUUGAUGGUUAAUGUAGUGUGUUAGUUGGUUGGUUAUUACUAGGAAGAGGGUUGUUAGUGCUAACAUUUAGAUCUAUAAAAGGAUGAGUAUGUAUCUAUCUUACACUUGAUCAUUGAUACUUCAUUUUCACAGUUAUACUUUUCUCUUUGUUUAUUUUCUUCAUUUGCUCCUCUUUUCCAUCAAAAUCAACAUCUAUAUGGAGGGAACUUUUUCUUAAUGUGCAAUAUUAAUAUGUGUUUGAUGAAAUGCCUAAGAGAUGAAUUGAUGGAGCUUUUACUUAAUUUUGUUUAAUUGAACAUCAAUUUAGAAUGGUUGGACAAGUUCUAGCUCUGUUAUCAAGUAUGUCCAACUCAACACAUACCAACAUCCAAGCUAUGGAUUAUUUAUGACAUAAACAUUAUUAUCAUUUAACAGCCCAAAGGGAAUAGAUUUUCUUAUAUUGUUAUGGUAUAUUAUGUAAACUAUCAGAAAAAAUUAACUACUAUUAGCAAGGAAUGUUUUGGGCCAGACAUUAUUAUUGUUUUCACAUCCUGCAAAUAAUACAAAUAAAACAUAGAUGAGAAUCACCCAUGAAAAUGAGCUACAACAAUGUUAGUGCGUUCACCAAUUCUAAAUGUUGGGGUUUGUUAAAUUCCCUGAGAUGAUGCGAAUCAAAUCCAUAUAUGUAAUAUAAAAUUUAGAAGAAUAUAAAAGUAUUAUUAAAAGUUAAUAAGACUGCGACACAAAAUUUUCCAUUACAAUUUUAUAAUUCAUACCCUCACUACCCGCGUGGUCGAUUCUCACAUAACUCCUGGAUUCGACAUGCACCGUACAAUGCCUUCCAUAACUGUAUUAUUGUUUGUUUCUCAUAUUUUCCAAAAUUGAUUACUUUAUACAUCUUUAGAAUUCCUUUGCAGAUCACAUUUGGUGAUGAAUUCUUUCUCUUAGGGUCCUUAUUUAUCUUCAAAUAUUAGUUAUAGAAUAAGUGACAAGUUUUUUUUUAGUAGAAUUAGAAGUACCUUAAAACGUCAAUCAAAUUGUUAGGCAUAUUCAAUUUUGUUUGCACAUUACAUUUCGUAAUCAAGUCUUUCUCGUAGGGUCUUUAUCUUCACAUAUUAGCGACACUAUGAGGAACAUAUUUUUUAGGGAAUUAGAAGUGCCUUAUAACUUCAAUCAAAUUAUUAGGGCAUAUUCAAUUUUCUUUUCCAAGUAAUUCUAACAAAAGUUUCAUUCUAACAAAAAUGUACUUAUCAAAUUGAUCAUAUUGUGUAAAGUUGCUUUUUGAAAUCAAUUUGGUUUCAUUAUUAUUGUUUUAUAUUUCAAACAAAACUAAUUUUAGAAAGAGAAAUCUCCAAUAAAGUCCCAAUAUUUUGGGUGAAUUUACGAUUUAAUCUCAAAUUAAAUUUUGUUUACAAAAAAUGACAAAAUCCCGGCUAAAACUACAGAAUAACCCUUUGUGGCCGGUUUCGCAGAUUUAGCCGGUACUGUGGGUUUUUUCGUUAAUUGAUUAGAAUUUUGGGGCUUUUUCGUUAAUUGAUCAAUUACCCUUAAACUUAUUGUAAAUUUCACUCGUCCGCGUCUCAAACUACUACUCCUUUUUGUUUUUCACUUUUUCGUAUCCACCUCUCCAAGUUGUACUCUUUCAACUUAUUUAGUGUUUUAAUCUAGCACAAAACGAAAUACGUCUAAGGUCUAUACUCUAAACCAAUCAACCUGAAACAAAAUAAAUUGAUUGACAUAAAAAUAAACGGGUUGAAUCAUGCACUUCAACAUGCUCAUGUUAAACUUGUACCUCAAUUUGCCAAGGACAGUAGCAAUAUCUUGGAAGCAACUAGUCUUGCCUUGGAUAGUCCAUAAAACAAAGAUUCGUUUGAAUUUUCAUACCCUCAUUUCACACACGUACACACAUGUUCCAGAUUAGAAACUUUUAUGUGUGUGUGUGCAUAUAAAAAGGAAAGACAUAGAUCUAUCUGAGGGGUGUGUGUAUGUAUCCUUUAUCGCAUCCUUCCCAAUUUUGCAAUAGAUAGAAAGAAACAGUGGGAGAAAGAGGGCACAUGGAAUAAGGUUUUAAACAACCAAUAGAAUGAAGAAGAAAACGAGUAUUAACGAGAAAGGUUAUUCCAUAGAUUUAAGUAUACCUGAUUAGUAUUAUUAUGUAUGUGUUGUGGUUAUCUCAAUACUUAAACCAAUAAUGAAAUCAAAAGAAAAUACAAAAUAUUUUUGUAUGAAUUUCAUCUUGCAAUCAUGGAGCACUCUAUCUUCAGUAAAGAUUUUCAGACAAGUUUAUGAAGUUUGGUAACUUUGUGGAUUGUAUAGAUAGUUUUUUUUUAAUAAAUUUCUUGACUUUAAAAUUGAAUAUCUAACGUUGUAUAAAAAGAUAUGAAAAAAUUCACUCAUUUAAAAAGAAAACCCUUUUUAAUAUAUUGAUAAAAAUGGUUAUUCCAAAGUUUUAGCUGAAUUAACGAAAAAAUCCCAAUAUUUUGACGAAAUAGUGAAAAAAGUCGGAAUACCGGCUAAAUCUGCAAAACCGGCCACAAAGGGUUAUUCCGAAGUUCUAGCCGGUAUUAUGUCCUUUUUGUAAACAAAAUUUAAUUUGAGAUUAAACCAUAAACUGACCUAAAAUAUUAUGCCUUUCUUGGAGAUUUCCUUUUUAGAAAACACAAAAUUUAACUUUUUAAGCCAAAACUUUAUGACAAAAAAUUGCUUACUUGGAGACUAUAUAGACCAAUGACAAAGUCAAGUGGAGUGUGUUGUACUUCAUACAUUAAUGUUCAUGGGUCCACACUAUGUUAAUGGGUCAAUGGAGACGGAGAAGAGUUCCAAUGGUCUUUCACAAGAAUCUAAAAUAAAUCAAUGGACCUUGCGCAUUCAUUAAAGUGUGAAAUCUAAAAUAAAUCAAUGGACCUUGCGCAUUCAUUAAACGUGUGAACAGAGGAAUACAUAAGAUUUAGUGAUUUUUUUAAAUAAGCAAAAAGAAUGACAAAAAUGAUGUCACUUCAUAAAAAAUGCAAUUAUAUUAAAAAAAAAAUUUGAAGCACAGAGCUAGUAGAAAAAAAGAAACAAAAAACAACUUCUAGUGCAUCAACUCUCAGGAACCCGUUCAUGUCAAAUGAGCUGUCAGCAUAACUAAUCCCAUAUCUCGUAAAUUACCGUAUACACCUAUUCUCGUAAAUCACCACAUAACCAUCAUUAAUUACGAUAAUCAAGACCCACUAUUUGUUAAUUCUAUCUAAGAACAUUGGGUAUGGGCCGGUGUUAUAACGUCAUCUUACAUGCCACAUCAACCUUAACACCAUCAUAACGACCAUAACACCAUGUAGGAAAUAAUGUUUCAAUGUUACAACUUGUUAAAAGGUAGAAAAAGGUAGAGAGAGAAAGAGAGAAGGAUGAAGAAAAAUGAUUUUGAUUGGUUCUCAUUCCCGUUUUAAUAAGUUGUGACGAGCACGAGAAGUGCCAUAACGAGAAGAAACGAGAAGGGGGGGGGNGCGGUGUUCCCCCGUCACGACGGCGUUUUCGUGUGUCACAUUAUCCGGUUGCUUCUCAUUAUUGGCCCAUACCGCAUCGUCUAAAGGUUGUUACUUAGUCUAUUUUUACAAUAGCACGACCUUCACCUAUUAAACAUAAAAACUUACAAACAUUACCAAUUAAUCCCCAAACCCGAAACCCCAAUCCAAUUUAAUAUUUAGGUUAAUGUAAAUAAACCUAAAUAACUAGAAUGCGAUUACAAUUAUUUCCUUUUAAAUAAAUGAUGAAGCAGGACCAUUCCAAAUGUAUUUGGGCCCAGAACCAUAAAGGAAAAAAGACCCUUAAAAUAUACAAAUUUUAUUAACCUUUCUAUAAUAACUCAAUAAUUGAAAGAUAAAUUAUUUAUACUGGCGUCUAAAUAUAAUAUUUUCGAUUAUAAAAAUCCAAAUAUUUAAAGAAAUAUAAUUUUUCUAGCUUUUUUAGAUGCAAAAUUAUUAAUGACUACGCGAAUCCUCGCGCGUUGCGCGAGAAUAGAAUUAUAUAGUUAAAAUAAUAACUUUUACCUAGGGGUGUAAGUGAGCCGAACUACUCGUGAGCUACUCGGGAUUGACUCGUUAAAAGCUCGACUCGAGAUCGAAUUAAACGAGCCUGAUUCNACAUUUCUUGCCAUUUUUGGCGAAUAAUAACACUUAUUCAAAUCUAAUGUAAACCCACUAUUUAGCAUUAAGGAAUAAACUCCUAUCUUGGUGACAGGUGAAGCUUUCUUGUUUCCCAUGAUCAAGUUUAUCUUUCCCUGCUCCACAUUCUCACUUCUUCUUAGUCCCUGCAAAUCACAACAUAUGUGAAUACCACAACCUGUGUCAAGGACCCAAGACUUAGAAUGAGGUGAGUUAUUAGAAAAUAUAGUGUAUAUACUUGCAUGGUUGGGUUUUACUUUCCCAUCCUUUAAAUCUUGUUGGUACUUUGGGCAGUUUCGCUUCCAGUGCGACUUUUCAUGACAAUAGAAGCAUUCAGCCUCAUUAGGGUUAGCAGAAGGAGUGACAAAACCUUUCUUGGUUUUGCUUGAAGAGGAUCCUUCAAGGGUCUUACCCUUGGUACCCUUAGAAGGGUUCUUUCUCUUCUUCCCUUUCCAUGGCCGAUUGCCAAGACAUUGGCCGCAGUUGGAGUAGGAGUAGGACUAGUAACAACCGACUUACCCUUUAGACCACUUUCGGCGGUCUUCAGGAGUCCUUGAAGUUUGCUGAGGGUGACUUCUUCCUUGUUCAUGUGAUAUGUCAUGCGGAAUUGAUCAUAACACGAUGGUAAGGAGUGCAAAAUGAUGUCUAAGGAAGUUUACAUUCAGCUUCAGUAAACGGUCCACAUACCUUUGCAUUUUCUGCAUGUGGCCCGUGAUGGGUUCACCAUCCCUCAUUCGGUUUGUUAUCAUGGAGGAGAUUAUUUCAUAUCGCUCUUUACAAGCACUUUGAUGGUAGCGUUCCAUCAAGUCCUGGUGCAUCUCAAAAGUAUAAUAGUCCUCAUAGGACUUUUGGAGCUCGGCUGUCAUGGUGGCCAUCAUGAUGCAUGCAACUUUUGUAGCAUCUCUUUCAUGUACCUCAUAUUCAACAAGCUCUUCAGUAGUAGUAGUUGACUCGGGUACCUUUAGCUCCUUGUCGAGAACAUAUUCUUUGUUCUCAUACCGAGUGACCAUCCUGAUGUUUCUGAUCCAAUCAGUAAAGUUGGAUCCAACAAAGAUGACUCUCCCACAAAGAUUCAUGAGAGAGAAGGAGCUAGUAGGGUUUGAGCCAGAAGCAUUGUUAUUGGAAGACAUCUGAAAAGAAGAGGGAAUAGAUUAGAUUAGAUUUAGAGAUAGUCCUUAAUAAAACACCCAAAUGUAGUAUUAAGGCUAGAACCCAACACAAUACUUUAUAACUUAGAAGAGGGAUGCAGUAAUCUAAGCUAUAAUAUAUUUGAAGGUUGGUGAGUGACGAUUCACCAAUUUCCACCAUGAAAAACGAAAUAUUUAANUCUCGUAAAUGUCAUAUGUAAUUCUUGUCAUAGUAAUAUGGAUAAAUUAGUUUCAUAUGAAUAACAUAUCAUGAUAAGUCUAUCAUAAUUACAUAUCAAAUGUUCAAAAUUAUGUUAUCUUUUAAAUAUUGUCUUUUAAAUAUGUUGUGCAGAAUAACCCUACAAAAAAAUAAUAGACAAUAAACAUAAUCAAAAUAGAAAAACUACAAUCAAAUAAAUAAAAGCAUUGGGUAGGCCUGUCGAAAAAACCUGAAACCCGUUCUACCCACCUGACCUGUUCCGAAUUCGGGUAGAACGGGUAACAUGUAUGAACAUUCAGGUAACAGGUUAACCCCAUAAUAGUAUAGGUCGGGUUUUAGGUAUGAAUAUUUAUUUUUGGGUAUACCCGAAUACCCAAAUUUGUUUUUUAAAUAAUAUCAAAUAUACAAUGCAGUCACGUACGCACACUUCAAAUAAAACAAAACCCUUCGUUUCCUUAUUAUGAACGACGGCUCGAAAGUCGACGCAAACUUGCAAAGUGAAUACGAUGUUGAAGCUGAAGUCCUGAACCGUCAUCACAAUUCUCAGUUUAUCACUAUCGCACGAAAUGGAAUUAAAAAAAUACGUAACAUAUUAUAAUGAUUUGUAUUGUUAUUAAAUAAGUACUUGUUAAUUGUAUGGAGUAUUUUCCUACCCGAAUCUUUAUUAAACCAACCAACAUGUGAAAAUAAAAAAAAUAAAAAUUAACAAAAAUUAUCAAUAACUGUCAUUUAUGAAAUUUUCGGGUGUACCCGAUAAUUACCCGACCCGACCUCAAACCCGUAUAACCGAAACCCGAAAACCCGAAUUACAAUAUAGUUCUGGUAUCAGGUAUUAUUUUCUUAAGAAAAUACCAGUUCUACCCGAAACCCAAAAAUUUUACCCGUUCGACACCCCUAGCAUUGGGUGGUUGAAUAUAUAAAUAAAUAUGUUACAUAAACAUACAUUUAAUUCAAAAGAAAAAACUAACAAUCGUCAACUUUGCUCAAACAGAAAAACCUAUAUCCAUUUUAUGAAUCUUUUUUCUUCAUUUAACAUCAUUCAACCAUAGAAACUUGAUGACAAUUCUUUACUAACAUGCAAUCAAAAUAUUUUUCUUGAAAAAGAAGAAUGAGAAAGAUAUUCCAAGCAAAACAUUGAUGUUUUGAGAGUCACAUUCAAGAUUGAGUAAUACACACAAAUCACAUAUAAAUAUUAAAUGAGAAACUAAAUAUAAAGAAAGAAUUGAAAAGCUUCAUUUGUUUUGGUUGAAAGAUAAAAUCAUAUUACAAAUAUCAUCGAUGCGAUAUAACCCAUUUCUUCAAAUCAUCAUAUUUGGAUCGUGAAUGUUUCACCUAUAUGAAAACUUUUGAAUCACAAUAUCUUCAACCAAAUGACGACUUUUUGUAAGAAAAAUGUACUAAUAUAACUACAUAUAUAAUAAGAGAAUGCAAAAAAUUAUUGGAAAUUUAUAAAUACUAUAAAUGGUUUUAAUUAAGGAAUAUAAAAAAUUAUGUAGGUUUCAAAUCAAUAUGGUUUGAGAAAACAAAAUAUCUCUAGACAUAUGAUUUUGAAUGGUAUGGUUUGAAAAAACAAUAUAUCUCUAAACAUAUGAUUUUGAGUGGUCUUAUAUAUAUUACUGGAAAAAAAAAUAUAACACGAUCAAAUUAUGAGUAAAAAAUGAUACAUUCAUCCACAACCUUGACUUGUAGAGCUCUUUUAAGGACUCCAUCACCGCAAAUACGUUCUAAAAGAAUUGUGUCUAUUGAAAAAUUUUCUUUUCAUUUUCUUAUGACAUCCUUCUUACAUGUAAGAUUUUAUAUAACACAAAAGGCACAAAAGAUUGACUUUUUUAUAGUAAACUUUUAACUAAAUACUAAUUAAACAUAAUAUAAGUUAUAGAACUUUUGAGUGUUAAAUCAUAAUUACGAAAACUUUUGAGUUGCAUUAGUUAAAAAAUGGGGUUUCAAAUGAAUGUGGUUUGAGAAAGUUAAAAAAAGGGGUUUCAAAUGCAUGAGAUUCAAGAAAAAAUGUUAGCUUUAUAAGUAUGUAUGAUAUCUCCACAUCAAUCUUUUCUAACAUAUCAUUAAUAAAGUCUAUAUAAAUUUUGGGCCUCUUUAAAAGAAGGGCGUCGGACGAUCACCCCUAUCCCCCACCCUUUGUGACGGGCCUAUGAUGAAGAUAACAUUACCGAUUCAAUUUAACAUAACGAAACACAAUUAAAAGCGCACUAUAAAUUGGAUCAAGUUCCCAACUAAAACUAUUAGCCUUUACAAAAUAGCAUCCCACUAAACCCUUCCAUGUGAUUGUAGACUUGUAGUAGUUGCGGCACAUGCACCUUACUACAAAAAGUCACAUAAGAUCUGAUUUUUGGAAAAAUUGGUAUAUAUGAUUGAAAUUUUCUGAGGGUGUGUUUGGUUGUGAGAAAAUUUCCAAUUUUCCAUGAAAGUAAAAACUUUGAAAACAGGUUUGUUUGAUUCAGUUUUCAAACUUUUUCCAAGAAAAUGAAAAUUUUCUUUUUUAAAAAUUGUAUGUAAAUAAGAAAGUGAUUUUUACAGUUUUCCAAAGUUUUGUAAAUUUGUAAAAUGGAAAAUUGAAAACUCCAUUGGUUUCAACAAACACAUUUUCUAAAAUUUUCAUUGAAAACUAAAAACUAAGACUCAACUCUAUUUUCUAAAAAUGUUUUCUAGAAAACAAAAAACAAUCUUCCACAACCAAGUGCACCUAAGCCAUGAUAAAUGGUAUAUAACAUGAUGGUGUUACCAAGUUACGAUCAGGUGUAUUCUUUUUUAAAAUAUGAAGUCAUUAUAAGAAUUAUUAUUUUUAAAACAUUUAACUUACUAGAUAAAAAAAUUGAAAUAAAUAUAAGAAGUAUAACAACAGAACUUUUCAUAAUUUAUUGUUAGAACUUUUCAUAAUUUAUUGUUAGAGGGAUGUAUGUAUGGCCUUCCUUGGUUUGAGCUAGUGAGUUUUUGAAGCAUAGCAAUUGCCAUUGACUUAUUUAUUUAUCUAAUACAAACAUAUAUAACGUUUUUUUUAACAAAAAGGCAUUCAAAUAAAUAUUUAUUGGCAUGAUGCACAUAGGAACUUGAGAAAAGUAAAGAACACUGAAAUUAAAGUACACCAAACUGAUCAGGCAAGAGAUGUUGAUUUAAAGCAAAUCCUUUAUUAACCGAUUUGAAACAUGGCACAUUGUUAGUCUUUUGUUUGGAUUGGAGUUCAAACAUGCUCUUGAGAGGCUCAACACUAUAAUAUCAAGUGUCUGAUAAAACUUCCCAAUGACAUCUCUCACCAUUAGCUUUGUUUUCUCAUCAUAUAAUCUAAAAUAGAAAUAUAUAUUUUGUACAUUUGGAUGACUUAGGUAUCCUAGAGGGUAUAUAACACAUGAUGUGCUAUCCGAAUUAUGGACGGAUGUAUUCUUUUUGAAAAUAUGAUGUCAUUAUAAUAACUAUUAAUUAACAUUUUACUUACAAAAUAAAUAAAAAAUUGAAAUAGAUAUAAGAAGUAUUACAGCAGAAUUUUACAUAAUUUCUUGUUUGGGAGAUGUGUGUAUGGCCUUGUUCUUGGUUUAUAGUAGUGAGUUUUAGAAGUAUAGUAAGGAUCAUUGACUUAUUUUUUUAUCUACUACAAGUAUAUGUAAAGUUUCUCAACAAAAACACAUUCAAAUGAAUACAUAUUGACAUGAUGCAUAUAGGAAACAUGAGAAAAGUAAAGAACACUGUAAGUACACUAUAUUGAUCAAGCAAGAGAUGCCGAUUUAAAGCAGAUCCUUCAUUAACCGAUUUGAAACUUGGCGCAUAGUUGGUCUUCCAUUCGGAUUGGAGCUCAAACAUGCUCUUGAAAGACUCAGCACCAAAUCAACUUGUUUCUCAACUUGUGGUGAGGGAAGUGGAAUCCGACUGUCUCCCACAUUUCCUAACACCAGAUAAUCAGCAGACAAUGUUGAUAUUUCACCGGGAUGCUUUCCCAUGAUCACUUCUAGUGCAACAAUCCCAAAGCUAUACACAUCACAUUUCUCGGUUGCCACCAUCGUAUAAGCAAGCUCUAUAUUCAAAUAUAAAUAAAUAAAUAAAUAAAUAAGUAAAUAAAUAAAUAAAUAAAUAACCUAUUUUAACCCCACAAGAUUCUAACAUAAAUACAUAUAUGUACAUAUACAUAUUUAUAUAUAUCAUAAAAUUUAAGAAGAUGUAGAACCAGAAUCACAAGAUUAUGUUACCUGGGGCGAUAUAACCAUAGGUGCCUGCAAUUGCGGUCCAGUUGGAUGAGUCUAGCUUUAAAAGCUUGGAGGUCCCAAAAUCAGAAAUAUGUCCCUCAUAAUCGGAAUCAAGAAGGAUGUUGGAAAUGGAAAUGUCUCUAUGAAUUAUAGGAGGUGAGCAGUCGUGAUGCAUAUAAGCCAAACCAUUAGCUAUACCCAUUACAAUAUUGAUCCUUUUUAACCAGUCCAAUUCUUUUGCUAAGAUCUCAUUGCAUAAUAUUGAUCCAAGGCUUCCCUUUUCAAGGUAUUCAUAAAUCAAAAAUGAGUGAUGGCGAUGGGAGCAAUAUCCAUAGAGUUUCACUAUGUUUCGAUGCCUUAUGUUCGUUAAUGAUCGUACCUCAUUAAGGAAUCCAUUAUGAUCAACAUUCUCAGAUGAUGAUGAGUGAAGUUUCUUGACAGCUACCACAUUGUUAGGUUGUAUGUCAGCUUUGUACACGGUACCAUAUCCUCCGGUCCCAAUAGAGCAUGCUUCAUCAAAAUCAUUUGUUGCUUUCAAGAUGUCAUCAUACACUACUCCUCCAUCAAAACUUGUAAUGGAAAAAUAUCCUCUACUUUCUUCGUCCAAUGGUUUAUGUGGAGACCUUUUCUUUUGUUGUCGAUAAGCAAUGAGGCCAUACGUGAACAAACCAAGUAAAACAGCUGCCCCGAUAAGAGGGAAGAUAAUUACAAGGAUGACCCCAUGAUGCGAGGGAUUGUUUUUCUUCUUAAUCAUUUGAUCUGCACAAAGUUUCACUCCAGUAAUAUUUCCACAAACACCUGGAUUGCCUUCUAUGGACGCAUUCACAAAGUUGGGACUUUGGGGAACUGGGCCUGAGAGCUCAUUGUAAGAAAGGUUGAUAUCAAUCCCAUGUGGCAACCUUAUAAAAGCAUUAGGAAUAGAACCAGACAGUCUAUUGUGAGAAAGAUCCAAUUUUUGUAAACUUUGCAAACCUUGAACUUCAGUUGGUAUCACAUCUGUUAGCAAAUUCUGAGAUAAAUCAAGUUUUGUAAGUUGAACUAAUUUACCAAUCUCAGAUGGAAUUUUCUCACCGAGCUUGUUAUUACUAAGAUUCAAGUAAUGAAUAUGUUCCCAUUGACCGAUACUUAUUGGUAGUGACCCGUUUAAUCUAUUUGUAGAUAAAUCAAGUACUUCAAUGAGUUCAAAAGAUCCGAUCUCUGGAGGUAUAAUACCAGAAAGCUGGUUAUCAGCCAAAGACAAAUUCAACAUUCUUUUCAUCUUCCCAAACUCCUUAGGAAUCUGACCUGUUAGACGAUUGGAAGAAAGAUCAAGCCUUUGUAGUUGAGUUGAAUUUCCAAACUCUGGAGGAAUGGAACCACUAAGUUGAUUUUUGUUCAACUUAAGAUCAAUGACAGAUUUCAAAAUCACAAGCUGAAUAGGAAUAGGACCAGAAAGCUGAUUCUGGUGCAUAUAAAGGCUAUUUAAAGAUGUCAAAUCACCAAAUGAAACUGGAAUAGAACCAGUAAGCAGAUUGCGAUUCACCGCAAGAUUAGUGAGAGACUUCAAAUUCCCAAGUUCAGUAGGAAUGGAACCGGAUAAUUUAUUAUCUUUAAGCAUCAGCCAUUGUAGGUUGCCCAAGUUUCCUAGUGAUGAAGGAAUUGAACCAUUAAGUUGAUUGUUACUCACCGCAAGAUGAGUAAGAGACUCCAAAUUUCCAAGUUCAAUAGGAAUGGGACCGGAUAAUUUAUCUCAUGGAGGUACAGAGUGUGUAGGUUCUUGAGGUUUGCUAGUGAUGAAGGAAUAGAACCAUUAAGUUGAUUGUAGGCCACCUGAAUGUCAGUGAGAGACUUCAAAUUCCCAAGUUCAAUUGGUAUUGAGCCAGAUAUAUUGUUUGAGUAUAGGUACAAGAUGGUUAGCUGGUUCAUGUUUCCUAUUUCAGGUGGGAUUACUCCUGAAAACUUAUUCUCUGAAAAAUCAAGAUAUACAAGUUUGGUCAAGAGUCGGAUUUCUGGUGGGAUGGGGCCAGAGAAGUUGUUGACACUGAGAUCAAAAUGAGUAAGACUGUGUAGCAUUGAGAAUGAAAAUUGAUGAAGCGUACCCUUUAAGCUCGAUGAACUGAGGUUUAGCCUCUGAAUGCUCCCACCAGCAUUGCAAACUACUCCAAACCAAGAAGUGCAUGGAACUGAUGCAUUGGAAUUCAUAGGGAGGGGAAGCCAUGAAGAGAGAAAGGAGUUGUUUGGGAUUUCAAGGCUUGCUUUCCAUUUAAGAAGAGCAUUUACUUCUUCUAAAGAAGCACAAGAGAAAUUGGGUGUGGAGGAGAGUAUAAUGAUUAUUAGUAGAGUUGGAGAGAAAAAUAAGAAGUUUAAAGAAGUCAUUAUUUGGUUUUUGAAAAAUGAUGGUUUGUGUCUCCCUAAUUUAUACUUGACCCUUUAUUCUUUUUAUUUUUAUUUCACCUAACGUCAUGCUUUUCAAGUCAAGUCAAGUCAAUGUCAACAAAGAAAUGUAUCACUUUGAAUUGUAUUACUUAUGACCAUCUAAGAAGAAAAAAAAAAUGUUCACAUUGUGUGUAUACGUAUGGGUCCUACAGAAGAACUGAAUUUGGUGCAAUGACUACAAAAUUCAUUGGUAAAAUAAAUAAUAAGCUUUUCACAUUUGACUUCUUUCACUACUGAAAAUCUUGAAGCAUGGAACAAGUCAUGACAAUGUAUGAAACGUCAUCAGCGAAUUAGACAGUGUUAUGAUCAUUCAAUUCCUUUUUACAAUUAUUUUGCUACAAUCGUUCCUGUUUCAUGGUAUUCAAUUUCAAUAUCAAGUUCAGCUCAUAAUCAAUGGUGUUCAAUCAGUCCUUUAUCCCUCCUCUCAUUUAGCCAAUUACAUACCAUCGUUGAGCCUGCAUAUUUUGUAUGUUCAUCAAAUUUUGGUUCUCAAUUUUUCAUCUUACCGUUGUUAUCUUCACAUGACUGAUCAAGAUUUUUUUUCAUGCAAAUUUAAACAAAUAAAUUUGGUUGAAGUAUUUGAUCGAACAGUUGGGCUGCAUAGUACCUGGAAUGAAAUCGCUCAUCAACUAAUGUACUUCAAGAGCUUUUAUCACUCAAUAUAUCCGGAAUGGGUUGUGUUCAUCACCAUAUUAACCUGCGAAUUGUUAAAUCAUCUCACUCGAGCUAGAUCAAACUACAUUUCCAUCGAUUCAAGGCUCCCAUAAUGCAUCAUCAGAUUUGUAGUAGAGAUGAGAACUGAUGUAUGAAUGUUUAUCUCGUCUUGAAACAAUGGAGAUGAGAACUGAAAUUGGGUUUUUAUUUUGCUUUUUGGAGAUGGAAUCGAUUUUCUUGUAUGAAGAACUAAGUAAAUCUUGCGAAGUUCCCUCCGCUACUGCUUUCACUCGAUUCCUCUUAAGCUGGAUUUAUAGCAAUGGAAUUAAAGCCAUAUGAGAUAUUGAGCAACAAAAUAUCCUGGAAAAAUAACAAAAAGAAAGUAAAUUAGCUAUUCAAGAUACUAAGGUCCCUUAUUCCCAAUUUGCCCUCCAACAGAAAAGAUGCUAAUUGGUGUUACCCGUGUUUCCCUUUUACCCCAUUUCAUCUAGAAUAAGUGUAUUGCAUUGGUGGUGUAGCAUUAUCCCUCAAUAAAAAAAAUUAUUUUCAAAAUUAAAGAAAUUGAUUAAACUAUAAUACACAUACAUAAUGGAUUAUCAUGUAAUAUGACUAUGAUUCUAGAAUCUAGAACCCACUAGUAUUAUGCAAUGAUAUUGAUAUGUUAGCUAACAUUACACUUUCAGAUGAACUAAAUUUGCUUGUUAUUAUAGAUACUUAAUUUUCUUAUGAUCUAUUUGCAAAACAAAUUUCUCAACAUUUGAUAUCAUGUCAUUGAAAAAAAAAUUGAUGCUCAUAAAUGUGGAGAACCCUUGUUUUAGUUCGAUUGUAAUAAUUUUCAUAAAUUACAGAAUUACCAAUCUCUUCCAUGAUCUGUUGGGAUCCGAUGAAACUAAUUAAUGACCUAUAGCACUUAUACAUUGUAAUUUUCAAGUAAAUGAUAACUUAAGAAACAAACCUUGAUUCCGAUUACCAAUCUGUUGGAGAUUAGGCCAAUGCAGCUCACAAUAUGCCCGGAUUCCCCUUUUACCCCCGCCCCCGUUCCCCCGCCCCCGAUUGAUUUUGGGGUACCUUAUUUGGGCUAAAAUAAGUUCUUGUUUGGGCUAAAAGAAACUAUUUUUUGGAUAACAAAUAGAUAUUUAUAACAUAACUUUACAUGUUACAAACAACUUAAAAACUUGUUUUUGUUGAAUUUUUGUACGUAAAAAUCAUUUCGUUGUUUAUUAUACUUAUAUAAUUAACAUAUGUCAAUUUAUAUAAUUUAUUAACGGGGCCCCCACGGGGGUUUCGGGACGGGACUACCAACCCCCGCCCCCGCCCCCGAAAUUAAAACGGGGGUUAACCUUGCCCCCNCCCAGAUCGGGGUCCCACGAGACUUUUUGACAUCCCUAAUCCAUCCCCGAUGUAAUAAGUUCAAGUUCAAGUCCAGCCAAUCUUAUGUUUUUACUUUUUUUUAAAAAAAACAUGACUCCCUCUCAAUCUUUUAGAUAUAAGAAUUGAUUUUCAUGGAACUCUCAAAAAGACCCAAAAACAUUGCAACACAACAAAAAUAAAGCAAAAUAAAAGGAAAAGUGGAAAGAAAAUACUCCUUAGUUGCCUCUCGAUUAGCCGACCUUGUUUAAAGUCUUUGGCUCGACUUGGCCACUGGAAUAUGUUAUUCUUCGAAUGUUAGGGCUCUCCAACUCAGUAAACUUCUUACUACUUCCUCAAAUGGGACACUUAUCUUGUACCUAACUUUCUUUUUGCUUGGGAACCAUACUAGACUUAGACCCUUGAUGAAAACAAUCAUCCAACUGACCCCUUUCAUGUACUUUUCCAAUAAGGUGGUCAACUCUUCCUUCUUUUAUAGGGUGGUUGAGUUGAUGACUAAUUGGGUGUCUUCCUUCUCGGGAUAUGUAUCCUUUAAAGGGUAUGACAUAUUUACCGUUUUUGGCUCUAGUGGUUGGUCUACCAGUGAAAGGAUUUUCUCAUUGGUAGUGGGUGGUUGAGCCUCUCUUUCUUCAACCUCCAACACCUCCUCUAUAAUUUCCAUGUCAGACUUCUCAAUUUCUACUUCUUCAUCGAAAACGAUAUCCACUUCUACUUCUUCCUCCUCUUCCAUGUCUUCAAAUUGCAUUCUUGGGGUUAUCAAAAAUUUUCCCAUCAUUCAAGGUGAUGGCAGAAACAGUAUGCCUUGGGUCCUUUUCAAUAUGGAUUGUAAUUUACCUUGAGUUUCCAAUAUACUCACAGAUUGAGCAAGGUGUGCAUCCUCAAAGCUUUUGAGGCUAGCUUUGGUUGUUUUUGGAAGAUUUGGGUAGUAUCGACAAUGCUUUUCACAAUGUCUUCCAAGGACAUGCUCAACAUUUCAUUUUGUUGAGGAUAUGAAAGAUAUGGUUGUUGGAACUGUGGAGUUUAUUGGCAUUGGUCAUUUCCCCAAGCUUGGUUGUUGUCCCACCAUUGAUCAUAUUGAGGUUGAUCAUAACUCAUUGGUUUGGCUAGUAGUACCUUCCCAUUUCUUUCACUUCUUCAUAUUCUCCUUGUAAAUAUGGACACAUAUUGGUUGGGUGUCCCACUUGAGUGCAAAUACCACACAGACGGGGUAUGGUUUGUACACAUUUGUCAUUUCCAAUCAUCAUAACUUUUGAGAAUCAUAUUAUGCAAUAUAAUACAAAUAUACAUAACCCCACUCGUUUUCUUCUCUUUCAUAUAAGUUGCAAGAUAUUUAAGUAUAUGCCAAUGUUUUUUAAGAGCGCAAAACGCUCGUUCAACAUCCUUUCUUGCCUUGUCUUGAUCUCUCUUAAACUUCAACCUUUUGCGAUCAUUUGGAAAAGACAAUGACUUUACAAAACAAGCACGCACCGGAUAGAUCUCAUCCACAAGAUAAUACUCGUACCUAUAUGACAUUCCACGUACUGCAAAGGAAGAAUAUGGUGCAGUCUUAUUGACACAUCGUCGAAAACGGAGACAUGUUAAGAACAUUAAUGUCAUUGAGGGAACCAGCUGAACCAAAUAAUGCAUGCCAUAUCCACAAAUCAUGUGAGGCCACCGCUUCAAGUAUGAUAGUUGGAUAAGCAUGAUCGCUUCAGGUGUAUUGGCCUUGUGAGGCCACCCCUUCCUAACAUUUCAGGGAUGCCGUGCACGUUCGAUUGAUGAGCAUAUAACUGUUGGACGUUACUAUAUCAUGUUUGCGCAAAUAUCAUGGACCAUACAAUCUCGUGACAUACCAACAAAAUUUGUGAAGGCUUUAUAAUGUCGUAUGUUUGGAUAUCCUAAGAUUCUCAUCUGCUGCAUCAGUGAAAGUGGCAUAUGAUAAUCGACGAAGUGCAGUGGUGCAUUUUUGUAAAUGAGUAAAACCAACUGUACCUCUAGCAUCUACACGUUGCUGAAAUUAUGGACAAACUGUUGUGACGUCGUUGACGAUACACAAAAACGAUGUUUAUGCAUACGGAACCGUCGGCAAAAGUAAUAUCCUUGAAAAGUCGCAAUUUCAUUAAAAUAAUCUUGCAAGAGGCUUUAAUUAACCGUCUCACGAUGUCUUUGUAUGUACCUUCUUUUUCUCUAACAUGCAUUAUCCGUUUUCAUAGUUCUUCUAUCUAAUUUUAGCCUAUUGAAUGGCAUCUAUGGUUUGAAGGAGGUUUUGAUGUGGUAAAUGAAGGAAUCUUAGGUUAUAUUUAUAGGUAUUAAAAAAAAAAUUAAAUUUAAACCAAAGAACCAUUUUUCAUGGGUUGAAGAAAGAUGGUCAAACUCGGUAAUUUCUCGCCCGUACUCGUGCCGAACCGAGGUGGUGGCAGGGUGUUCGCCGAGGCCACCUCGGAUUUGCCGAGUUGCACGCUCCUUGAAGUCUUACAACGAUCACUGAUCGGCCCUCAUAACCAUGGCUAUUCUCUUCGUCGAUUCUCAUAUCGGGCAGCUUGCUCCCUGAUUUCCCAUGCCCCCGCCCACGGCCCUCCUUGUCCAUUCCCAUGUUGGUCAAUUCCCAUGUGCAGAAACCACAACCAAAUCAUCUGAAUCCCUUAUUAUCCUACAAAUUCGUUUUCAUCUAUCAGAAAUUGAUACCAAAUCACUUGACCCGAUCAAAAUCGCAGAGAAUUUAUUUUGUAAACAAAUUGGCGACUUUUCGUCAGGAUCAUUUCCAUAGUAGAAGCAGAGCGGUUGAAGUAUUCAUCAUAAUUGAGUUGAUAUGAAAUUAGUAGGUAUGUAUUGGUUUCUUUCCUUGUUUUCCUUCACUAUUUUACUUCCAAACACUCCUUUGUAUCUAAUGCAUAUUAAGUGUUUGACGAAAUGCCUAACUGAUUUUAUUUAUUUAUUUAUUUAUUUAUUUAUUUAUUUAUUUAUUUUUAAUUUAAUGCAAUAUUAGCUCUAUGGUUUGUUAAUACCGAGGUGUUCUGAAUUCAUAGACUAUUAAAAAAACAAAGAAUACUUACAGGAAAUAAGUACUGAUCUCCAAAUAUUCGUCAAUUCUUACAAAAAAAUUGUACACACCCAAUACAAUAUGAGAGAAGUAAUGGUUCCUAGGCAGUGCGAUUAUUAUGUUAGCUAACAUUACAUUUUCAGAUUAACUAAAUUUGCUUCUUACUAUAGCUAGUUAAUUUUCUUAUGAUGUGUUUGCAAAAAAAUUGAUCAACAUCAAAUAUCUUGUCUUUGAUUUUUUUUUUAUUCAAUUCUCAUCAAAGUAACAAUAUUCGUAAAUUAAACAAAUUGCAAUUUCUUCCAUGAUGUAUUGAGAAUCAGUGAAACUAAGAUGAUAUAUAGCACUUAUACGUUGUAUUUUUCAAGUAAAUAAUUACAUAAGAAAUAGAUCCUGAUUACCAACCUGCUGGUGAUUACGCCAAUGGCAACUCACUAGAGUCUCAUGAACCCCUAUAAACAUAGAGACUAGCAUAUAAAUAUUAAAAUAUACAUUGCUAGAAAGGAUAUUGCAUUAUCCAGAAAUAGGUGUAAAUGAAUGAACCUUAACUUUGCUUAGUGCAUUAAUGGCUAUAUGAUAAUUCCAUGAUUAUUAGGCAACUUUUGAUGGUGAUUCUUCUGAAUUAUGUGUGCUAGAACUCAUAAUCGCAAUCUCAACCUUGUUCUUUGGAAUAUGGCAUGACAUGGAUAUAACAUUAAUUGAUUUAAUGUGUCAAAAAAAGAAAGACUCAAGUUUGACUUCAGACAAAGAGAGUAAGCAGAGACUAAAGGUACUCUGUUUGGUUUUUUAGUAGCACGUCUUCCAUUCAAAUUAACAGCCGAUUGCAUGUAAAUUGCUUUGAAAUGCAAAACUUCUUUUUAAUAUUUAAAGUUGUCAUCUUUGUAAAGAAAUUUUUUAUCUAUAAUAUAAAAUAUAAAUAUCUAUUUCCUAAUACAAAAUUUGUAUAUAUGAAUGAGUAAUGUAGCAUAGGCGGUAUAUAGCAUCAAAAUCAUAAAAUUAUGUUACCGAAUUGCCUACAAUCUUUGGCAACUCUCUUGAAUUUGAAUUUUAUGGUAUAGAGUUUGGUGGCCAAAGUAAAUACAUAAAACACAAAUAUUUUGUUGAAAUUUUUUCAGGGUAACUAAUUAUUCCACAUCAAUUGAUAGGAAUUUCGUAUUUGGAAUUAAGAUGAUUUGCAACUAAUACAAACUGCAAAUGUUCUCUACAUAUUGUUUAAAACUCUAUUGGUGUUUGUUUUUCGGUCGUUAUUAUUUGACAUACAUUGUAGAAAAUAAUUUAUCAUAUGUAAUUAAUCUACCAUUGUUAUUUUUGCUACUUGUUACAUUUAUUGGAAAUCCAAGUGAUGGAAAAAUUUGUUGCUAAAUUUCACCUGAAAAUAAAUCAGGUGAAAGGUCGGUGCUAAAUUUCAGACAAAGUUUAUGUAGCUUAUCCGUCGUGAAGUAUUAAGCAAUAGAUUUGUCCUUGACUCAUACAUGAUUUUCCAUAAGUGAAGCGUCUAAAAGGAUAGCAAUCUUCACUGUCUUAUUUGUUUAUCUACUACAUAAUAAUUUAAGAAAACAUAUGAGAAGUAUUAUAACAAAAAGGCAUUCAACUAAAUACAUAUUAUGAGGGUGCAUAUAAGGAACAUUAUAAAAGCAAAUAACAUUGAAAGUACACCAAUAUCAAGCCUUCAUCAACAGAUUUGAAACUUGGCGCAUUGUUGGCCUUUCUUGUGGAUUUGAGUUCAAACAUGCUCUCGAGAGAUUCAGUACCAAAUUAACCUGUUUUUCAACUUGUGGUGAAGGAAGUGGAAUCCGACUAUCUCCAACAUUUGCUAACACCAGAUAAUCAACAGACAAUGUUGGUAGUUCACCAGGAUGCUUUCCCAUCAUCACUUCUAGUGCAACAAUCCCAAAGCUAUACACAUCACAUUUCUCAGUUGCCACCAUCGUAUAAGCAAGCUCUACAUCCAAAGAAACAUAGGAAAAAAACAAAAAGAAAACUACAUCAACCCCACAAGAUUCUAACAUGGAUACAUAUAUAUACAUAUACUUAUUCAUAUAUCUCAUGAAACUUAAGAAAAUAUAGAACUAGCAGCACAAAAUUACAUUACCUGGCGCGAUAUAACCAUAUGUUCCUACAGUUGCGGUCCAGUUGGAUGAGUCUAGCUUUAAAAGUUUGGAUGUGCCAAAAUCAGAAAUAUGUGCCUCAUAAUCAGAAUCAAGAAGGAUGUUGGAAAUGGAAAUGUCUCUAUGAAUUAUAGGAGGUGAGCAGUCGUGAUGCAUAUAAGCUAAACCAUUAGCUACACUUGUUACAAUAUUUACCCUUUUCAACCAAUCCAAUUCUCUUGCUAAGAUAUCGUUUCUUAAAAUUGAUCCAAGGCUUCCCUUUUCAAGGUGUUCGUA